RNAcentral lists this non-coding RNA (24 nucleotides) under Arabidopsis thaliana (thale cress). Lineage: Eukaryota; Viridiplantae; Streptophyta; Magnoliopsida; Brassicales; Brassicaceae. The record is from RNAcentral.
UCGAUGAUCAAACUACAAACUUUC